GGGCGGUUAGCUCAGUUGGGAGAGCGCCUGCCUUACAAGCAGGAGGUCGCAGGUUCGAGACCCGCACCGCCCA
This 73-nucleotide transfer RNA is filed under the name Actinomycetes bacterium. RNAcentral's name for it is "tRNA-Val". It matches the Rfam family "tRNA". From Rfam's summary of the family: Transfer RNA (tRNA) molecules are approximately 80 nucleotides in length. Their secondary structure includes four short double-helical elements and three loops (D, anti-codon, and T loops). RNAcentral also lists the same sequence under 1 other name. The record is from RNAcentral. Lineage: Bacteria; Bacillati; Actinomycetota; Actinomycetes.